GGGAACAUACCCUUUUCUACGGAAUAGCUCUGGGAAACUGGAAUUAAUACCGUAUACGCCCUACGGGGGAAAGAUUUAUCGGGGAAGGAUUGGCCCGCGUUGGAUUAGCUAGUUGGUGGGGUAAAGGCCUACCAAGGCGACGAUCCAUAGCUGGUCUGAGAGGAUGAUCAGCCACAUUGGGACUGAGACACGGCCCAAACUCCUACGGGAGGCAGCAGUGGGGAAUAUUGGACAAUGGGCGCAAGCCUGAUCCAGCCAUGCCGCGUAAGUGAUGAAGGCCUUAGGGUUGUAAAGCUCUUUCACCGAUGAAGAUAAUGACGGUAGUCGGAGAAGAAGCCCCGGCUAACUUCGUGCCAGCAGCCGCGGUAAUACGAAGGGGGCUAGCGUUGUUCGGAAUUACUGGGCGUAAAGCGCACGUAGGCGGAUAUUUAAGUCAGGGGUGAAAUCCCAGAGCUCAACUCUGGAACUGCCUUUGAUACUGGGUAUCUUGAGUAUGGAAGAGGUAAGUGGAAUUGCGAGU
This 520-nucleotide ribosomal RNA is filed under the name uncultured bacterium. RNAcentral describes it as "bacterial SSU rRNA". It matches the Rfam family "Bacterial small subunit ribosomal RNA", at positions 120 to 674 of the family's 1533-position model. The record is from RNAcentral.